This 496-nucleotide ribosomal RNA is filed under the name uncultured bacterium. Its description in RNAcentral is "partial 16S ribosomal RNA". It matches the Rfam family "Bacterial small subunit ribosomal RNA", at positions 28 to 507 of the family's 1533-position model. The record is from RNAcentral.
GAUGAACGCUGGCGGCGUGCCUAAUACAUGCAAGUCGAGCGAACGGACGAGAAGCUUGCUUCUCUGAUGUUAGCGGCGGACGGGUGAGUAACACGUGGAUAACCUACCUAUAAGACUGGGAUAACUUCGGGAAACCGGAGCUAAUACCGGAUAAUAUUUUGAACCGCAUGGUUCAAAAGUGAAAGACGGUCUUGCUGUCACUUAUAGAUGGAUCCGCGCUGCAUUAGCUAGUUGGUAAGGUAACGGCUUACCAAGGCAACGAUGCAUAGCCGACCUGAGAGGGGGACCGGCCACCCUGAAGGUGAGACACGGUCCGGAGUCGGACGGGAGGCAGCAAUAGGGAAUGUUCCGAAAUGGGCGAAAGCCGGACGGAGCAACGCCGCGGGAGUGAUGAAGGUCUGCGGAUCGUAAAACUCUGUUAUUAGGGAAGAACUGAUGUGUAGUAACUGUGCACAUCUUGACGGUACCUAAUCAGAAAGCCACGGCUAACUACGUG